GAAAUGCGAUAAGUAAUGUGAAUUGCAGAAUUCAGUGAAUCAUCGAAUCUUUGAACGCACAUUGCGCCCCUUGGUAUUCCGGGAGGCAUGCCUGUUCGAGCGUCGUAACGAACUCAAGCUUGGCUUGAUGAUGGAUACUUGCCUCUCUAAGGCUAAUCCGUAAAUCAUGGUGGUUUAUCUCUGUCCUUCAGCGUUGUUAGCCAAACACACUGUGGAGUGACAGAUCCUUAAGCUUACCGACCCCCUAUAUAUAUCAAGAAUGACCUCGAAUCAGGUAGGGAUACCCGCUGAACUUAA
RNAcentral lists this unclassified non-coding RNA (297 nucleotides) under uncultured fungus. RNAcentral describes it as "sequence contains ITS1". The stretch from base 1 to 105 matches the Rfam family "5.8S ribosomal RNA", at positions 50 to 154 of the family's 154-position model. The record is from RNAcentral. Lineage: Eukaryota; Fungi.